RNAcentral lists this ribosomal RNA (235 nucleotides) under uncultured bacterium. Its description in RNAcentral is "partial 16S ribosomal RNA". It matches the Rfam family "Bacterial small subunit ribosomal RNA", at positions 96 to 334 of the family's 1533-position model. The record is from RNAcentral.
UGGCGGACGGGUGAGUAAUGUCUGGGAAACUGCCUGGUGGAGGGGGAUAACUACUGGAAACGGUAGCUAAUACCGCAUAACGUCGCAAGACCAAAGAGGGGGACCUUCGGGCCUCUUGCCAUCGGAUGUGCCCAGAUGGGAUUAGCUAGUAGGUGGGGUAACGGCUCACCUAGGCGACGAUCCCUAGCUGGUCUGAGAGGAUGACCAGCCACACUGGAACUGAGACGCGGUCCAG